Non-coding RNA from Podarcis lilfordi (Lilford's wall lizard), 68 nucleotides. NCBI's taxonomy places the organism in Eukaryota, Metazoa, Chordata, Lepidosauria, Squamata, Lacertidae. The record is from the annotation of a GenBank genome assembly.
GCGUGGCUCAGUAUCAGAGCAUCUGCUUGGAAUGUAGAAGGUCUCUGGUUCAAUCCUUGGCAUCUACA